AUAUAUAAGAUAUUUAAUGUUAAUUUAUAUAAAAUCAUUACAAAUAUUAAAUAACCAUAAUUAGACAAUAAUGACAACCACCACCACAACCACUAUCACCAUAAUUAUUUCAUAACUAUCCAAGCAAUCACAAAUAAUACAACAUAUAGUUCAUGCUAAUACAUCUAUCUAUUCAAAAAUACAAUAAUGAUAAUCAUUAUACCACAACCACUACCAUC
RNAcentral lists this long non-coding RNA (218 nucleotides) under Elaeis guineensis (African oil palm). Its description in RNAcentral is "long non-coding RNA (EGUI_LNC064386)". Lineage: Eukaryota; Viridiplantae; Streptophyta; Magnoliopsida; Arecales; Arecaceae. The record is from RNAcentral.